GAUGAACGCUGGCGGCGUGCUUAACACAUGCAAGUCGAACGAUGAAGCCCAGCUUGCUGGGUGGAUUAGUGGCGAACGGGUGAGUAACACGUGAGUAACCUGCCCUUAACUCUGGGAUAAGCCUGGGAAACUGGGUCUAAUACCGGAUAGGAGCGUCCACCGCAUGGUGGGUGUUGGAAAGAUUUAUCGGUUUUGGAUGGACUCGCGGCCUAUCAGCUUGUUGGUGAGGUAAGGGCUCACCAAGGCGACGACGGGUAGCCGGCCUGAGAGGGUGACCGGCCACACUGGGACUGAGACACGGCCCAGACUCCUACGGGAGGCAGCAGUGGGGAAUAUUGCACAAUGGGCGAAAGCCUGAUGCAGCGACGCCGCGUGAGGGAUGACGGCCUUCGGGUUGUAAACCUCUUUCAGUAGGGAAGAAGCGAAAGUGACGGUACCUGCAGAAGAAGCACCGGCUAACUACGUG
This 466-nucleotide ribosomal RNA is filed under the name uncultured bacterium. Its description in RNAcentral is "partial 16S ribosomal RNA". It matches the Rfam family "Bacterial small subunit ribosomal RNA", at positions 28 to 507 of the family's 1533-position model. The record is from RNAcentral.